This 31-nucleotide non-coding RNA is filed under the name Rattus norvegicus (Norway rat). The record is from RNAcentral. Lineage: Eukaryota; Metazoa; Chordata; Mammalia; Rodentia; Muridae.
UUGGAAAGCAUGAACUUCUCAUUGGGGUCUU